Molecule: ribosomal RNA, 504 nt
Filed under: uncultured bacterium
Lineage: Bacteria
Description: partial 16S ribosomal RNA
Rfam family: Bacterial small subunit ribosomal RNA
Source: RNAcentral
GACGAACGCUGGCGGCGUGCCUAAUACAUGCAAGUAGAACGCACAGUUUAUACCGUAGCUUGCUACACCAUAGACUGUGAGUUGCGAACGGGUGAGUAACGCGUAGGUAACCUGCCUGGUAGCGGGGGAUAACUAUUGGAAACGAUAGCUAAUACCGCAUAAUUUAAUUAUUGCAUGAUAAUUAAUUGAAAGGUGCAAUUGCACCACUACCAGAUGGACCUGCGUUGUAUUAGCUAGUAGGUGAGGUAACGGCUCACCUAGGCGACGAUACAUAGCCGACCUGGGAGGGUGAUCGGCCACACUGGGACUGAGACACGGCCCAGACUCCUACGGGAGGCAGCAGUAGGGAAUCUUCGGCAAUGGACGAAAGUCUGACCGAGCAACGCCGCGUGAGUGAAGAAGGUUUUCGGAUCGUAAAGCUCUGUUGUAAGAGAAGAACGGGUGUGAGAGUGGAAAGUUCACACUGUGACGGUAUCUUACCAGAAAGGGACGGCUAACUACGUG